This is a long non-coding RNA of Dreissena polymorpha, 194 nucleotides long. RefSeq lists it as uncharacterized. The transcript is spliced from 2 exons. Lineage: Eukaryota; Metazoa; Mollusca; Bivalvia; Myida; Dreissenidae. The record is from RefSeq and is a predicted model, not a curated record.
CCAACACUAUGCGGCCUUCUCUCACCUCAACCAACCCGCGGCCAUCCAGGUGGACUCCGGUUACAUCGUACAGUACGCAACCGAACAGAUCACCAGCCAAUUGAUGAUCGGUGUCGACGAACUGAACUCCUGCCCCGGCGUCCAAAUGAUCUGGCACGAGCUCAUCUCACCAUUCUGUAUCCGUCGUGACGCAA